UUGCCCCAGUAACGGCGAGUGAAGCGGCAACAGCUCAAAUUUGAAAUCUGGCCCCUGGGGCCCGAGUUGUAAUUUGCAGAGGAUGCUUUUGGCGAGGUGCCUUCCGAGUUCCCUGGAACGGGACGCCACAGAGGGUGAGAGCCCCGUCUGGUUGGAUACCGAGCCUCUGUAAAGCUCCUUCGACGAGUCGAGUAGUUUGGGAAUGCUGCUCUAAAUGGGAGGUAUAUGUCUUCUAAAGCUAAAUACCGGCCAGAGACCGAUAGCGCACAAGUAGAGUGAUCGAAAGAUGAAAAGCACUUUGAAAAGAGGGUUAAAUAGUACGUGAAAUUGUUGAAAGGGAAGCGCUUAUGACCAGACUUGGGCCCGGUGAAUCAUCCAGCGUUCUCGCUGGUGCACUUUGCCGGGCUCAGGCCAGCAUCAGUUUGCCCCGGGGGAUAAAGGCUUUGGGAAUGUGGCUCUUUCGGGAGUGUUAUAGCCCAUUGCACAAUACCCUGAGGCGGACUGAGGUUCGCGCAUCUGCAAGGAUGCUGGCGUAAUGGUCAUCAGCGACCCGUCUUGAAACACGGACCAAGGAGUCGUCUUCGUAUGCGAGUGUUCGGGUGUAAAACCCCUACGCGUAAUGAAAGUGAACGCAGGUGAGAGCUUCGGCGCAUCAUCGACCGAUCCUGAUGUUCUCGGAUGGAUUUGAGUAAGAGCAUACGGGGCCGGACCCGAAAGAAGGUGAACUAUGCCUGUAUAGGGUGAAGCCAGAGGAAACUCUGGUGGAGGCUCGCAGCGGUUCUGACGUGCAAAUCGAUCGUCAAAUAUGGGCAUGGGGGCGAAAGACUAAUCGAACCUUCUAGUAGCUGGUUUCCGCCGAAGUUUCCCUCAGGAUAGCAGUGUUGAACUCAGUUUUAUGAGGUAAAGCGAAUGAUUAGGGACCCGGGGGCGCUUCUUAGCCUUCAUCCAUUCUCAAACUUUAAAUAUGUAAGAAGCCCUUGUUACUUAGUUGAACGUGGGCAUUCGAAUGUAUCAACACUAGUGGGCCAUUUUUGGUAAGCAGAACUGGCGAUGCGGGAUGAACCGAACGCGAGGUUAAGGUGCCAGAGUAGACGCUCAUCAGACACCACAAAAGGUGUUAGUACAUCUUGACAGCAGGACGGUGGCCAUGGAAGUCGGAAUCCGCUAAGGACUGUGUAACAACUCACCUGCCGAAUGUACUAGCCCUGAAAAUGGAUGGCGCUCAAGCGUCUCACCCAUACCUCGCCCUCAGGGUAGAAACGAAGCCCUGAGGAGUAGGCGGACGUGGAGGUCAGUGACGAAGCCUAGGGCGGAGCCC
RNAcentral lists this ribosomal RNA (1318 nucleotides) under Metarhizium granulomatis. RNAcentral describes it as "eukaryotic LSU rRNA". It matches the Rfam family "Eukaryotic large subunit ribosomal RNA", at positions 75 to 1424 of the family's 3401-position model. Lineage: Eukaryota; Fungi; Ascomycota; Sordariomycetes; Hypocreales; Clavicipitaceae. The record is from RNAcentral.